GUGGGGAAUAUUGCGCAAUGGGCGAAUGCCUGACGCAGCGACGCCGCGUGUGGGAUGACGGUCUUCGGAUUGUAAACCACUGUCGGGAGGGACGAAGGCGCGGGGUUAACUGCCGCCGCGAUUGACGGUACCUCCAAAGGAAGCACCGGCUAACUCUGUGCCAGCAGCCGCGGUAAUACAGAGGGUGCGAGCGUUGUCCGGAAUCACUGGGCGUAAAGGGCGUGUAGGUGGCUUGAUAAGCCGCGUGUGAAAGCCCGGGGCUCAACCCCGGAACGGCACGCGGGACUGUCAGGCUCGAGCAUGGUAGAGGCGAGUGGAAUUCCUGGUGUAGCGGUGGAAUGCGUAGAGAUCAGGAAGAACACCGGUGGCGAAGGCGGCUCGCUGGGCCAUUGCUGACACUGAGGCGCGAAAGCGUGGGGAGCAAACAGGAUUAGAUACCCGAGUAGUCC
This 449-nucleotide ribosomal RNA is filed under the name uncultured bacterium. RNAcentral describes it as "bacterial SSU rRNA". It matches the Rfam family "Bacterial small subunit ribosomal RNA", at positions 354 to 796 of the family's 1533-position model. The record is from RNAcentral.